GAUGAACGCUGGCGGCGUGCCUAAUACAUGCAAGUCGAGCGAACAGACGAGGAGCUUGCUCCUCUGACGUUAGCGGCGGACGGGUGAGUAACACGUGGAUAACCUACCUAUAAGACUGGGAUAACUUCGGGAAACCGGAGCUACUACCGGCUAAUAUAUUGAACCGCAUGGUUCAAUAGUGAAAGACGGCUUUGCUGUCACUUAUAGAUGGAUCCGCGCCGCAUUAGCUAGUUGGUAAGGUAACGGCUUACCAAGGCGACGAUGCGUAGCCGACCUGAGAGGGUGAUCAGCCACACUGGAACUGAGACACGGUCCAGACUCCUACGGGAGGCAGCAGUAGGGAAUCUUCCGCAAUGGGCGAAAGCCUGACGGAGCAACGCCGCGUGAGUGAUGAAGGUCUUCGGAUCGUAAAACUCUGUUAUUAGGGAAGAACAAAUGUGUAAGUAACUAUGCACGUCUUGACGGUACCUAAUCAGAAAGCCACGGCUAACUACGUG
RNAcentral lists this ribosomal RNA (497 nucleotides) under uncultured bacterium. Its description in RNAcentral is "partial 16S ribosomal RNA". It matches the Rfam family "Bacterial small subunit ribosomal RNA", at positions 28 to 507 of the family's 1533-position model. The record is from RNAcentral.